This is a long non-coding RNA of Vicia villosa (hairy vetch), 409 nucleotides long. RefSeq lists it as uncharacterized. The transcript has 2 exons. NCBI's taxonomy places the organism in Eukaryota, Viridiplantae, Streptophyta, Magnoliopsida, Fabales, Fabaceae. The record is from RefSeq and is a predicted model, not a curated record.
GAAGGAGUCUCACUCUUGGUUCACAGCGGGGAUUAAUCGGAGAUGUACGAAGGGAGAAAUCGAGAGAGAUGAGCGAACAGAGGGAGAUGAGGGACGAAGUCGUUACGUUCUCACGGCGGUGAUUCGAGAUCGAGAUUGAGAUCGGAGAAGAGGAGAUUUUCGCUGCGUCUGAGUUUGAAAGGGGAAGGAAGCUGAUACGUCUCAAUUGAUUGAGGAGUAACGGCUAUUGAGCUUGGUGAGGAUAGCUUAUAGGCUAGUCUGUUAGUUUUGUCGGUGUCAUGCUCUGAUUUCUAAUACUGGGGGACACUAGUUAGAGGUAAUUAUUAUACUCUUAUUUCUGUUGGUGUUUGGAUUAUGUUUUUAUUGGUUUAUGCAUCGAUGAAGAUUAUGCUAUUCCGUUUUAAAUUAA